CAACCCCCAAGGAGAAAAUGAAUUUGCAGAAAUGGAGUUCAUCAAUAUUACUGUGGUUACUUCAAAUAAACCAUAUGGUAUAUCUGAUGGAUCAAAUCCCUUUUUCGACGGCCGUAGAACUCCCAAGUUCAACUUAGAACGAAAUGGAGUUCAUAGUGGUCAUGUUCAGACUAUGGCCGUAGAACUCCCAAGUUCACCUUAGAACGGAAUGGAGUUCACAGUGGUCAUGUUCAGACUAGACUUCGUGAUCCAUUUUGCAUAGUCAAGAAUGGGAGGGGCAGAUGCCAGGUGAAGAUCAAUUGAUUCAUGUCAUUAUCGGUAAUAUGGUUUCUGGUUUUUGUCAAUAGUAAAUGACGAGAUUUUGUUGGUAAUUCCCGAAUCAUGAAUUAUGCUUGUUUGUUGUAAAGAUAGUCAAAGUUGGUAAAGGUACAACUUUUUUAUGUUCUCAAUCAACUAAGAAGAAAAAUUUUGAGAUAGGAAGAUGUUACUGAUGUAUGAUUUCCUUCUUAUACUUUCUGACUUUUAUGAUCUAUUCUUUGUUUCAUCAUUAUACUUCUAUAAAUGUU
Molecule: long non-coding RNA, 566 nt
Filed under: Nicotiana benthamiana
Lineage: Eukaryota; Viridiplantae; Streptophyta; Magnoliopsida; Solanales; Solanaceae
Description: long non-coding RNA (NBEN_LNC027794)
Source: RNAcentral